UACAGAGGUGGCAAGCGUUGUUCGGAAUUACUGGGCGUAAAGGGCGCGUAGGCGGCCUUCUAAGUCAGACGUGAAAUCCCCGGCUUAACCUGGGAACUGCGUCUGAUACUGGAGGGCUUGAGUGCGGGAGAGGGAUGUGGAAUUCCAGGUGUAGCGGUGAAAUGCGUAGAUAUCUGGAGGAACACCGGUGGCGAAGGCGGCAUCCUGGACCGACACUGACGCUGAGGCGCGAAAGCUAGGGUAGCAAACGGG
RNAcentral lists this ribosomal RNA (252 nucleotides) under uncultured bacterium. RNAcentral's name for it is "partial 16S ribosomal RNA". It matches the Rfam family "Bacterial small subunit ribosomal RNA", at positions 524 to 776 of the family's 1533-position model. The record is from RNAcentral.